This 220-nucleotide ribosomal RNA is filed under the name uncultured bacterium. RNAcentral's name for it is "partial 16S ribosomal RNA". It matches the Rfam family "Bacterial small subunit ribosomal RNA", at positions 111 to 334 of the family's 1533-position model. The record is from RNAcentral.
UAAUGUCUGAGAAACUGCCUGAUGGAGGGGGAUAACUACUGGAAACGGUAGCUAAUACCGCAUAACGUCGCAAGACCAAAGUGGGGGACCUUCGGGCCUCAUGCCAUCAGAUGUGCCCAGAUGGGAUUAGCUAGUAGGUGGGGUAACGGCUCACCUAGGCGACGAUCCCUAGCUGGUCUGAGAGGAUGACCAGCCACACUGGAACUGAGACACGGUCCAG